AAGAUUUUAAGUUAUUAUUAAACUUUAAGCCUUCAAAGCUUAACUAAUAAAUUAAAUUUUAUAAAUCUUA
Molecule: transfer RNA, 70 nt
Filed under: Pseudomyrmex dendroicus
Lineage: Eukaryota; Metazoa; Arthropoda; Insecta; Hymenoptera; Formicidae
Description: tRNA-Trp
Source: RNAcentral